RNAcentral lists this ribosomal RNA (502 nucleotides) under uncultured bacterium. RNAcentral describes it as "bacterial SSU rRNA". It matches the Rfam family "Bacterial small subunit ribosomal RNA", at positions 28 to 521 of the family's 1533-position model. The record is from RNAcentral.
GAUGAACGCUGGCGGCGUGCCUAAUACAUGCAAGUCGAACGAGGUGCUUUUGUAGCAAUACGAGAGUAUCCUAGUGGCGAACGGGUGGGUAACGCGUGGAUGACCUGCCCCAAAGUGUGGGAUAACAGUCCGAAAGGAUUGCUAAUACCUCAUGUGGUUAUCGGUUUUAGGAAGCGAUAACUAAAGCAGCAAUGCGCUUUGGGAGGGAUCUGCGUCCCAUCAGCUAGUUGGUGAGGUAACGGCUCACCAAGGCGACGACGGGUAGGGGACCUGAGAGGGUGGCCCCCCANAAUGGAACUGAAACACGGUCCAUACACCUACGGGUGGCAGCAGUAGGGAAUAUUGGACAAUGGGCGCAAGCCUGAUCCAGCCAUCCCGCGUGCAGGAUGACAGCCCUACGGGUUGUAAACUGCUUUUGUUAGGGAAGAAACCCCCUGAUUUAUCGGGGGCUGACGGUACCUUUCGAAUAAGCACCGGCUAACUCCGUGCCAGCAGCCGCGGU